This 264-nucleotide ribosomal RNA is filed under the name Chryseobacterium sp. April_TSA1E4. RNAcentral describes it as "partial 16S ribosomal RNA". It matches the Rfam family "Bacterial small subunit ribosomal RNA", at positions 1086 to 1352 of the family's 1533-position model. Lineage: Bacteria; Pseudomonadati; Bacteroidota; Flavobacteriia; Flavobacteriales; Weeksellaceae. The record is from RNAcentral.
CCUGCAACGAGCGCAACCCCUGUCACUAGUUGCCAUCAUUAAGUUGGGGACUCUAGUGAGACUGCCUACGCAAGUAGAGAGGAAGGUGGGGAUGACGUCAAAUCAUCACGGCCCUUACGCCUUGGGCCACACACGUAAUACAAUGGCCGGUACAGAGGGCAGCUACACAGCGAUGUGAUGCAAAUCUCGAAAGCCGGUCUCAGUUCGGAUUGGAGUCUGCAACUCGACUCUAUGAAGCUGGAAUCGCUAGUAAUCGCGCAUCAG